CGGAAUAUAGCUUAAGUUAAAGCAUUUCGCUUACACCGAAAAGACAUUUGCUAACACCA
RNAcentral lists this transfer RNA (59 nucleotides) under Thoropa miliaris (rock river frog). RNAcentral's name for it is "tRNA-Val". It matches the Rfam family "tRNA", at positions 1 to 60 of the family's 71-position model. From Rfam's summary of the family: Transfer RNA (tRNA) molecules are approximately 80 nucleotides in length. The record is from RNAcentral. Lineage: Eukaryota; Metazoa; Chordata; Amphibia; Anura; Cycloramphidae.